RNAcentral lists this unclassified non-coding RNA (514 nucleotides) under Hevea brasiliensis (rubber tree). Lineage: Eukaryota; Viridiplantae; Streptophyta; Magnoliopsida; Malpighiales; Euphorbiaceae. The record is from RNAcentral.
ACAGAUUCUGAGAAGUGAGCACUUGUUUUUCUACUAUAUCUGCUUUAGUUUCCUAACCCAAGUGCCAAUAGCUGCACUUCUGGAACUAUGGGUAUUGGUUGGUCCUCUUAAGGAGGAAAAUACAGAUGCAGUAUCCUCAUACUUCGCCUGUGGACUGGAUGAUGACGGCCUAGACCAUCAUUGACUUCUGCUGGCCAAGACAUGGGAUAAGGAUCUCUCUUCCUCUCUCUCUCUCAGCACAUAUAUAGUUAAGCAUAUAAAUAAAGCCCAUGCCAUACAUGCUCUGUAUAAAUAAGCAUAAAGCACACAUCUACUGUAGGCUUCCCCUGUCCUUCUGGGCAGGGGAAUAAGAUGGUUUUCAAGCCUAGCUGAGGGUUAGCUCUUUCCCUAUAUGUGUUGGAAGUAUAUAGGUUUUGGAUUGCUUGUCUUUGCAGAUUUGGACAAAAUCAAGAGGGCACCUGUGAAGAUUUGCGUUAGGGGCUCUGUUCUGAUUGUCCUUGUGUUGAGCUCGUCG